Nannospalax galili (Upper Galilee mountains blind mole rat) is the source of this 205-nucleotide small nucleolar RNA. RefSeq annotates it as small nucleolar RNA U3. The record is from RefSeq and is a predicted model, not a curated record. Lineage: Eukaryota; Metazoa; Chordata; Mammalia; Rodentia; Spalacidae. The transcript has a single exon.
AAAAUGAUACUUUCAGGAAUUUGUUGUUGUUGUUACUGAGGAGGUUUGUCCAAUGUGUAGAGUACCAGGAUCCAUGAGGAGGACAUGUAUGCCCUCCGGAGAGUGAAGCUGCCUCUUGGUAUUGUCUGGACUCAGCUGUCUUUUGGCAUUGAUAACCAUUCUUCUGUACCCACAUGAAGGUAGGAGUGAAAAAAAUUUAAAUGAG